GUGCCAGCAGCCGCGGUAAGACAGAAGGUGCAAGCGUUACUCGGAAUUACUGGGCGUAAAGCGUCUGUAGGUUUUUGGCCACGUCUGGCGUGAAAUUUCGGGGCUCAACCCCGUCCCCACGCUGGAAACGAGCUAGAUAGAGUCAUUCAGAGGCAUCUGGAAUGUCGUGUGUAGGGGUAAAAUCCGUAGAUACACGAUGGAACGCCAAAAGUGAAGACAGGAUGCUAGGAAUGUACUGACACUCAGAGACGAAAGCGUGGGGAGCAAAGGGGAUUAGAAACCCGCGUAGUCC
This 292-nucleotide ribosomal RNA is filed under the name uncultured bacterium. RNAcentral describes it as "partial 16S ribosomal RNA". It matches the Rfam family "Bacterial small subunit ribosomal RNA", at positions 505 to 796 of the family's 1533-position model. The record is from RNAcentral.